AUUGAACGCUGGCGGCAUGCCUUACACAUGCAAGUCGAGCGGCAGCGCGGGGGCAACCCUGGCGGCGAGCGGCGGACGGGUGAGUAAUACAUCGGAACGCGUCCUGUCGUGGGGGAUAACCAGUCGAAAGACCGGCUAAUACCGCAUGAGAUCGAAAGAUGAAAGCGGGGGACCGCAAGGCCUCGCGCGAUUGGAGCGGCCGAUGUCGGAUUAGCUAGUUGGCGGGGUAAAAGCCCACCAAGGCUACGAUCCGUAGCUGGUUUGAGAGAACGACCAGCCACACUGGGACUGAGACACGGCCCAGACUCCUACGGGAGGCAGCAGUGGGGAAGUUUUGGACAAUGGGGGCAACCCUGAUCCAGCCAUGCCGCGUGUGUGAGGAAGGCC
RNAcentral lists this ribosomal RNA (387 nucleotides) under uncultured bacterium. Its description in RNAcentral is "bacterial SSU rRNA". It matches the Rfam family "Bacterial small subunit ribosomal RNA", at positions 29 to 416 of the family's 1533-position model. The record is from RNAcentral.